This is a long non-coding RNA of Phyllostomus discolor (pale spear-nosed bat), 1167 nucleotides long. RefSeq lists it as uncharacterized. Lineage: Eukaryota; Metazoa; Chordata; Mammalia; Chiroptera; Phyllostomidae. The transcript is spliced from 3 exons. The record is from RefSeq and is a predicted model, not a curated record.
CUGAAAUACAAAAUGUUUUUUUUUAGGGGAAGAAGAACAAAUAAGAAAGGAUAUCUACAUUCCAUAGGUGGUGCCUUCAAGCAAAGAUCAAUUCUUUAAAUCUUUACAUAAGUUUACCCAGAAUUUUACUUUCAAGGAAAUUUUUCAUCCCAUAUCUUUAAUCCUUCCAAAGAAAUUCAUUCCUGGCAUCUUUUAGAAGGACUGUUUUGGAACAGGCCAGAGUCAGAAAGACAUGACACUUUUUUCUGCAGAAACCUGUAUGAAUCAAUCCUUAAAUGACAUAAUUUUAAUCCCUAAACUGUGUUACCCCCGCUGACACAGUCAGCCGCACCAGUUGUGGGAACUGAACUCGAUGGCAAGCAAGACACAGGCUGGCUGGUGCUCUAAGAGGCAACGUGGCACAAAACCUGUGUCAAAAUAGAGAUAAUGGUGAUUAAUUGAAGGAAUUAAUCACCCUCCUUUGGAGAUCUUUGCAUUUAAUUCACAAAUUGGCUUAGGCAUUUGAAAGAUGGAACAGAAGCAAAAGAUACCGAGAAAGAAAGUGGGCUGUAGAGGCUAUGGAAGACCACUGGAUAUACUGAAAUUAUUAACAGCAAAAGCUGUAACAAAGUAGAAAAUGAAAGAUAAAAAAGGAGUGCAGAGGGUGUUGGCUGGUGGCAGGAAGUACUGUUGGAGAGGGCAUAUGACUCUUGCCGGCAUUACCUUAAGGACACAGAAAGAAACAUUCAGCUGCUGAGGGGGUGUCAAGAUAAUUCAUUCUGUCAGAGCCAUCUUGGAUUUUUUUUAACUAACUUAGUAUUCCAAUAUCUAACAAUCGCUGUUGUGUGGCUCCUGCUAUUUACUGUCUUCAUUUCUACAGGAGUCCUAUACAGAUAAAGACAUUUGACACAUUCAGUGCCAGCUGUGUUGGGCACUAUGCUGCACAUUCCUUGAGGAACUCACAGUGCGUCAUGAGAAAGAGCAAAGAGCAUAACCUGGUGUAUUUAAAUCUGAUGUUAUGCCUCCCAGGUGGUACCAAGGGAAGGCAUGAUUAAUUCUGACCAGGGGAUUUGGAAUCACAUCUUCUACACAUAAUAGAGCAAAGGAUCACAUGUUGGGACUCUCACAUAAAGAUGAUAUGAAGACAUAUGUAGUUUAUUUAUUGAUAGCACUUUCAAAAAACUCUCU